CCUACGGGAGGCUGCAGUGAGGAAUAUUGGUCAAUGGACGCUAGUCUGAACCAGCCAAGUAGCGUGAAGGAUGACUGCCCUAUGGGUUGUAAACUUCUUUUAUAUAGGAAUAAAACGCGGCACGUGUGCUUCUUUGCAUGUACCUUAUGAAUAAGGAUCGGCUAACUCCGUGCCAGCAGCCGCGGUAAUACGGAGGAUCCGAGCGUUAUCCGGAUUUAUUGGGUUUAAAGGGAGCGUAGAUGGGUUGUUAAGUCAGUUGUGAAAGUUUGCGGCUCAACCGUAAAAUUGCAGUUGAUACUGGCAGUCUUGAGUACAGUAGAGGUAGGCGGAAUUCGUGGUGUAGCGGUGAAAUGCUUAGAUAUCGCGAAGAACCCCGAUUGCGAAGGCAGCUUGCUAAACUGAGACUGACAUUGAUGCACGAAAGUGUGGGUAUCGAACAGGAUUAGAUACCCUGGUAGUC
This 460-nucleotide ribosomal RNA is filed under the name uncultured bacterium. Its description in RNAcentral is "partial 16S ribosomal RNA". It matches the Rfam family "Bacterial small subunit ribosomal RNA", at positions 338 to 795 of the family's 1533-position model. The record is from RNAcentral.